RNAcentral lists this long non-coding RNA (782 nucleotides) under Helianthus annuus (common sunflower). Its description in RNAcentral is "sRNA HanXRQr2_Chr11g0478521". Lineage: Eukaryota; Viridiplantae; Streptophyta; Magnoliopsida; Asterales; Asteraceae. The record is from RNAcentral.
UUUCACCCCUAAAUUUCUUUUCCCUAACCUAUCCUCUCAAAUCCCCCACCAACAAGGCCAUAACUCCAAUCUGUUUCUCAUGUUGCCUCUGUAUCAAUUUCCAAAUUUUUGAACCACCACCUAUUGAGAAGGCCCCUUUUAUCCUCGUUCAACAACCCUUCAUCUUCAUUCAACAGCCCCUACGGAUUUUAGGUUGGAAGGUAUUUGAAAUCGAUCUAUAAUAUUUUGUUCAUGGCUUCCAUCGUUGAAUCUUCUUGGAUGGCACGGUCAUUAGUACUUUGAGAAUUUAAAUAUACCAAUAAUCAACAGAAUGUCAGAACCCACCGUCAUCACCAACAACCCACUAACAUCCAAAAUGGGAACACUUUCACUAUUGUUAGGAAGUUUAAAGGAGACAAGUUGAAUGGGUCACCAGUUGUCUUCAAUUGAGACUUAAAGAUAUCUCCAAUUGAGAACCUGGGCUUCACAGCAGGUGAUGGCUUCACAACUUUCUCAUUUUUCACUACUAGAUCUAUUAGACCCAUCUCUCUCUUCAUGGAUUUCACCAACUCAACGUCCACAUUGUUUCCAACUCUGUCCAUCACAUAGAACGUAAUAUCCACUGUAGAUUUGUCGGUUUUCGUUGCUAAAUCUGCUCUCAGUACUGCUAGCCCCUUCUCUUGAAGAACUCUAGUUAUGUCUGAUAGCAACCCUACCCUGUUGUUUGCACAUAGUUCUAGUCGGGUUCCCUGCACAAAUAAGCCAUAAAAUCUUAAGAACAUGAUACUAAACCGGUUUAACUU